UAGGGAAUAUUGCAAAUGGGCGAAAGCCUGAUGUAGCAACGCCGCGUGUGCGAUGAAGGUCUUCGGAUUGUAAAGCACUUUUUGGAGGGAUGAGGAAGGACAGUACCUCCAGAAUAAGCCUCGGCUAACUACGUGCCAGCAGCCGCGGUAACACGUAGGAGGCAAGCGUUAUUCGGAUUUACUGGGCGUAAAGCGCGUGCAGGCGGUUUGGAAAGUUGGAUGUGAAAGCUCCUGGCUCAACUGGGAGAGGUCGUUCAAAACUUCCAGACUUGAGAGUGGUAGAGGGAGGUGGAGUUCCGGGUGUAGUGGUGAAAUGCGUAGAUAACCGGAGGAACACCAGUGGAGAAAGCGGCCUCCUGGACCACUU
This 367-nucleotide ribosomal RNA is filed under the name uncultured bacterium. Its description in RNAcentral is "bacterial SSU rRNA". It matches the Rfam family "Bacterial small subunit ribosomal RNA", at positions 355 to 739 of the family's 1533-position model. The record is from RNAcentral.